GACGAACGCUGGCGGCGUGCUUAACACAUGCAAGUCGAACGGAAAGGCCCUGCUUUUGUGGGGUGCUCGAGUGGCGAACGGGUGAGUAACACGUGAGUAACCUGCCCUUGACUUUGGGAUAACUUCAGGAAACUGGGGCUAAUACCGGAUAGGAGCUCCUGCUGCAUGGUGGGGGUUGGAAAGUUUCGGCGGUUGGGGCUGGACUCGCGGCUUAUCAGCUUGUUGGUGGGGUAGUGGCUUACCAAGGCUUUGACGGGUAGCCGGCCUGAGAGGGUGACCGGCCACCAUGGGACUGCGAGACGGCCCAGACUCCUACGGGAGGCAGCAGUGGGGAAUAUUGCACAAUGGGCGGAAGCCUGAUGCAGCAACGCCGCGUGCGGGAUGACGGCCUUCGGGUUGUAAACCGCUUUCGCCUGUGACGAAGCGUGAGUGACGGUAAUGGGUAAAGAAGCACCGGCUAACUACGUG
Molecule: ribosomal RNA, 468 nt
Filed under: uncultured bacterium
Lineage: Bacteria
Description: partial 16S ribosomal RNA
Rfam family: Bacterial small subunit ribosomal RNA
Source: RNAcentral